AAUCAGCGCAUCAUCAACCCUGAUCUAUUGAUCGAUCUCGUCUCCUCCUUCACUGAAUAGCAGGUAGCGAAGCAGGGCUCUCCUUGUCCUUCUUGACGCCAGAGGCUCUCUCUGUUGCAUUCACGGAGGAGGGAGCGAAAAGGAAGCGUCGGGAAUUGCCAGGACUUGAGAGAAGAUGGCACUGCCGAGUCUGGACAGUCGGUCCUCCACUCACUUCAUCAAAGAAGAAGAUCAUUCUCUCUCUCCGCAUCUGUAUCCGACGAAUCAGACCUUUCCUCAAUCGUCGUCGUCUUCUUCAGCUAGGGCUCUGCUUUUUAAAUUCGUUCCGUGUAAAUUUCUCAGUCCACUACUUCAGAUCAUGGACCAAUGGAGGUCCUCCACUGACAUCAUCAAAGAAGAAGAUCUCUCUCUCGCUCUCUCUCGCACUUGAACUCGGCAAACUCGUAAGUUCACGUUUCUUCUGAUUUUGGUGUCUUAUUGCGCGUGAAUUAGGUUGAAGUCGGAAGCUGGUUUCGUAGAGACCUUCCUCAAUUUUCGCCUUCUUCUUCAGCAAAGGCCUAUGUUCUUCAAAAUUCGUCCCACAUUAGAGUCUAAAAGCAUAAGUUCCUCAAACUAGCAAUUUUAUCUUAACAAUGGAGUAAUUGAAAUAGGGAAAAGAAUGAAAGGACUAUUAUUGGGACAUAAGUUGGUGGUUGGAGCCUUGGAGGUUCGGAAAGAUAACAAUCGUCUCCUUUUUUUGUGGAUGGAUGCGUUGGAAAAGCAAUUCCUAAGGCGUCUUAGAAUUAGAAUCCAAGUCCUCUUAUAUGGAGAAAUUUGACAAUGUGAUUCAAUGUCGGAGAAGUAGAAUAUAUAUGUUAAUCGCACAAAGAGACUAUGUUCAUAUGGACAAGCAAAUUGCAAAGAAUGUUGCUGCCUCCAUAACUAAAGAGAAAGACCUAAUCGAUAAGGGGCUGGCUUGUUGUGAUUAUGAAAUUUCAUUGUAGAUCUAAUGACUGAUAAUUUUGUUUUCAAAUAGGAGAUGCUGUUGUAUUUUGUUAUAUUAAUCAGAUUUGGGGAAAAAAAAAGAUUUUACUUUGUCAAAUUGAACCGAUAGUUUGAUAAAACCUUAUUUGAGCUGCACUUGAAAGAAUCAAACAGCUUAAUUUUAAACUUUCAAUUCCAUCCAUGUUACAGUCAUCAAUGUAUUUGCUUUUUCCCCUGUGAUUGUGAUUUAUGUGGCUGAAAUUGAUAUGUUUUAAAUAUACAUAGGACCUGGAAGGCUUCUUCUGACUGUGUGCCCUAUUGCAUUCUGGGAGCAUAGAUUUGACCUUGACUUUGGAUUAAUGACUUUCGUCAUGUGGCUUACUGUCUAUUGAACUCCUGAAACUAGCAAGUAAUGCCUUAAACUCACUCUGUGUACGAUUUAAUUCUCUCAUUAGGGUAUGCUUAUGUCUUGGUCUUUUCUUCACCAUAUGUUGGUUUUUCAACCAUGUACAUGCGCACUCGGCUCCUGUUCAAUUCAUCUUGCAACAUAUUCAGGAAAUUUAGCAAAUUGUGACUCUCAGGUAUUCAAACAGGUCAUGGAUGGUGAAGCUAAGGAGUUGUGGAUGAGAUCUUUUUUUUUUUUUUUUUGGCCGGGGGGAAGGGAGGGGUACGUUCUUUUCUGCUGGUCAGCCCAAAUUUGCAAGAGAACGUCAUCUGCAUGUAGAAACUCAUUGAUAGGGAUGAUUUUCUGUUCAGAAUCCACAUAUUCACUAGUGCUGGUUAGGACUUGAUUUACAUUGAUCUAGAUGAACUCUGGAAGUGUCACUUUCACUGGUCCAAAAUGAAUUUAGUAUUCCAAAUAAUAACUCCUUUAUAUAGUCUUGAGGAAUCAAUGAAGUGUACUUCUAUGCCGAUUGGGUUUUAUGAGGUUGAUCACAAUCCAGAUGCACACUCAUUAAUGCCACAUUCCAAAUCUGAAUGAACUGAAAAGAAUAUUAAAAAUGUUCAAAAGGAUGCUUUUGAGAGAAUGGUGCAAUUAUUUGGCCUGUAGAAUUGGAAAAAUGUGAUGAGAUGGUUUGGUUAGCAAAGGGUUUGAAUGAAUAUGCAGAGCAUUACUCUAUCUGUGAGGUUCAAUUUUUGGUCUUCUAAUAUGAAGGGGACUCCAUUUCCCGUGUCACCAUAAUUGAUGAAAGGAUGUCUGAGAUAGAAUAUCUGCCAAUCAGUGUUGAUAUGAGGAACCGAGCCUCAUCAAUUAUGGAAUUGUCUUGCUGAAAGUGGAAAAUGCCUUCGAUUGCCAUGACCUUUCAGUCAAGCUUAAAGUCUGGGGGGAUGAAUUGCAUUCAGCCAAGUGUCCUCGGUUUUGUAUGGAAAUCGAAUCUGAUCAGGUUUGCAAAGUCCAUGGCAGUUCCUAUGUAGAGUUUGGGAGGGACAGAAGUUCCAAUUGCUCAUCACAAGAUUUUCCAGGUAAGCUGAGAGAGUCAAGCUUGUGAAGAGCUCUUGAACUGGCCAGCAAAUUUAUACUCGAUUAUCCUUUCUUCCAAAUUGCGGUGAGGUGAAUAUAUCUGAAGAAAAGCAAUAUGGGAGUUCCUGGUUCAUUCCUAAAGAUGCACUUUAAGAAAAGCCCGCAGACCAUGGCUCUCAUAUUUCAAGACAAAGCAUGGCAUUGAAGCUCACCAACCCUGAACAUCAUGGAAAGCUAUUUGCCCGCAAGGCUGUAUUCAUGAGAGAAACUUCACUGGAGGCAGAAGACGCGUGUGUUUGAGCUCUACUGAAAAGGACAAUAUCGUGUUCGGACUAUCCAACUUCAGAACCACUGAUAAGACUUGGCUGAAUGAUAAUACUAUGCAAUACGAUAUAGCAGAGGAAGUUUCGGCUUAGCUCACUUUUGGUGAGAAUGUGACUUUCAGAAUGGCUAGGCUGAAUUCUGCUUCCAAUUCGGCAAAAUGGAUAAAAGCAUGAGCUUUGUUCAAAUGAAUGAAAUGGUUCUGAGUGUGUA
This is a long non-coding RNA of Eucalyptus grandis, 2959 nucleotides long. RefSeq lists it as uncharacterized. The record is from RefSeq and is a predicted model, not a curated record. Lineage: Eukaryota; Viridiplantae; Streptophyta; Magnoliopsida; Myrtales; Myrtaceae. The transcript has 5 exons.